UUAAAACUCGAUUUGUCGCGAAGGAUGUUCAUAUCGUAAAGAAUAAAGAUAACUAAGUUGGAGACGACUCUAAGUUUCGAGCUUGUUGAUGAAUCCAAAGUGAUUGUUGUCUAUUUCCGAUUUUUCAUAAUUAGUAAGGAUUGGAGAUUGCUAUUAAAGAGUUGUGUUGAUUCUUAUACAAUUGCUGAUUGGAUUUAAGGGCUGCUACAAUUGUUUUUGUUUCAACACCAGUUAGAUCACAAGUAUGUGCCUACAAGCAAUGAACUACUAGUACUGCUCAAAGGUGUCAAGCGGCUUUAUGCAUGAACUAGGUAGGACAAAGUGAUUUAUGGGACUUGAUUAGAGAUAAACAACCCUUAUCCAAAGGUAAGUAAAUGUUUGUAUCGAACCUAAUCCUAAUAAAUUAGUUCUAUAAGUAUGAAGGGAGGUGAUUUAGGCGUAUAUUAAAUAUGUUUGGAUGUCCUGUAGAGUGGAAAGAUGUUUGCAAAAUUGUGUAAUACACUUUAAGUUUUUCAGCUGUACACUAAGACUGAUUUACAAGUUUUGUAUAUACAAUGCAAUU
Long non-coding RNA from Papaver somniferum (opium poppy), 562 nucleotides. RefSeq lists it as uncharacterized. NCBI's taxonomy places the organism in Eukaryota, Viridiplantae, Streptophyta, Magnoliopsida, Ranunculales, Papaveraceae. The transcript is spliced from 3 exons. The record is from RefSeq and is a predicted model, not a curated record.